UUCUCUUUCAUCUCUUUCACUCCAACUUUUUCUCUGUCAUCCCUACUCUAGCCCCAAUUGAAAUUUUCAUUCUCAAAACUAAAAAAAGAAGCCCCAAACCCUUAUUUACCUCCUUCAUUCCUCUCAACCCUUUCUCCUUCAUCUCUCUCCCUCAAACAUUUUCUGUCAUCUCUGCACUAGCCCCAACUAAAAAAACACUCAUUAUUAAACAAUUUACUUCUGUAAAGAGUUGAGUCAUUGACA
RNAcentral lists this long non-coding RNA (243 nucleotides) under Vigna radiata. Its description in RNAcentral is "long non-coding RNA (VRAD_LNC007493)". Lineage: Eukaryota; Viridiplantae; Streptophyta; Magnoliopsida; Fabales; Fabaceae. The record is from RNAcentral.